This 2998-nucleotide long non-coding RNA is filed under the name Triticum aestivum (bread wheat). RNAcentral's name for it is "long non-coding RNA (TAES_LNC026226)". Lineage: Eukaryota; Viridiplantae; Streptophyta; Magnoliopsida; Poales; Poaceae. The record is from RNAcentral.
AAAAAAAAUAUUGAUGGUUUCAUACAUAGCUAUUCCAUAAGUCAGAAUAUUUAGAACAUAGAAACAUCACUAUCAACUGUUUCCAUCAACCAGAGAUACAAAUUCACAUGUCUUCAGAUACAAUUUCAUAGAAUUUACAUACAUGAAUCGAAGGUCAACGAAAACAGGGGUGCAACAUCUAAAAACACAUAAGUGCAUCAACUAAAUAUACACAAGAAGAGACCUCAUUUUCUAUAAUCUUUUGUUGCCAGCUUAAGUUGCAAGCUUCUCUUCAAGGUUGCCCUGCAAUGGACAUAUAAUUGAACUUGUAAAAAUGUGCAGGUGUCAACAGUUUGCUACAAAAAGGUAACGAGAAAAAGAACAAUAUCUAUAAGAUAUAAUAAGCAUAAUCUACUUGGUAUCACAGGUUCUCGCAAUAACAUUGGCAUAUAUACCCAACUUGUUUUUCUCACAGCAAAGUUACCCACUUUUACAGCUUGUAGACUAAUAAUGGAGUAAUUUGUUCUAGCAUCAUAUCUCAUAUUUGAUACAAAUCAUGCAACUGACAAAAACCAUUUAAAUGACAACCCGAGCACAUGCUUCUGGAUUAGCUUGACAGAAUUAUCAGCUAACUUCCUGAGCAGAUGAGUCAUUAGAGACUUCUUGCAAGAAAUCACAUUACCAAUGUCAAUACUCUUAAGUCUAUCCAUUUCAAAUGUUCAAGAGAAUGGCCAGAGUCAUCAUCAUCUCCAUAAGAAUAAAAAAAGCCAAAACAUUAUGCAAUUAUUCGAUAAUGUAACAACAUGGGAGCUGAACAUCACGGUGAGACAAUAAAAGACCCCAAAGAAAUAGAAAGAGGUUGUGUUCAGACUAAACCAACAUAGCAACUAGUGGCUCAAUAAUGUUGAUCUCAUGAUCUUGGGCACACUUGACAUAGCAUGAUAUGUUUUUAAUAUACACGAGAAAACUUGACUGGCAAUUAUUCCUGAUAAAACUUUGGGAAUGAUGGUGAAAGUAAAAGUAAAAAUACCUUCAUUAGAAGCUCUUGCAUCUCUCAUAGACCCUGAAUCUUGAAUUUUGCUCCGAAUAAUAGGUUACGAAUUCACAUAUCUUCUGAUGUAAUUGCAUAGAAUUUACACACACGAAUCAAAUGUCAACAAAAAUAGAGGUACAACUUCUCAAAAAAGCACAUGUGGAUCAACUAAAUAUUCACAAUUUGAGACCAUUUUCUACAAUGUUUUGCUUGACCUUAGGUUGUAAGAUGCUCUUCUUACCCUGCACUGGACAUAACUGAACUUGUAAAAUGUGCAAGUGUGAACCGUUUGCUACAAUAAGGUAACAAGAAACAGGAAUAAUAUACAUAUGAUAUGAUCAGCAUAAUCUAUAUGGUAUCUCAUAUUCUCGCAUUAACAUAAGUAUAUAUAGCCAAAUUCUUUUUUUCACAGCAAAGUUAAAUAAACUGACAGCUAUAUAGACAUGAUAACUGAGUGGUUUCUUCUAAAAUCUUGUGACAAAUUUGAUACAAACACAACAAUUGACAACAUCCAUUCAUCUAUCAGAACUAUCAGUUAUUAGAGGUUUCUUCAAGUUAAGCUCAAACCAUGAUAUCGACAGUAAGUGCAACUUCUCAAUGAUGCAUAACCAGAAGAAUGUACUCUGUUUCAAAAUGCAAGACGUUUUUUGACACUGCCACAUUUUGAGACAGGUUAGUAUAACAAGAAAAUCAGGGGAGUGCCUUUGAAUAAAAUUAUCAAGAAGGAAACAGAAAUGUAGUAACAUUCAUACUGAACAAAAAUAGCAGCUAGGGGCUCAACACAGAUAAGAUGAUCCUGGUCAUACUGGACAAAGAAUGGUAUACAAACAGUAUGAUAAGAUGAAAGAAUAUAAAGGGCAUCAUUACUGCCUAAUAAAACAAAGAGCUAUGCUGCUGAAUAUCACAUUAAGAUAAAAGGGCAACAAACACCAUCUCUAUAUAUAACUGUAUCUGGUCUUACCUGUUAGAAUAUUCUCUAACUCCAUCAGCAUACAUAAAAAAGCAAAUAUGUUUUAUUUGCUUAAGGCUUGAGCAAUUCAUCAAUAACAUCACUACACUGGAAAACAUUUCCAAUUCACUAGUAAUAAUAUAAGCUGCUUACACUACACGACAUUUUCAACAUUGAUAUUCCAAACAUCCAUGCAUAUAUGUCUCUGCUUAAGCAUAAUUAAUUACGUACCUGAUAAUAGAAGUUAAGCCUUCUUCCAAUUAUAUUUUAUUGCUCUGCGUCAGAGUGAAAAUUAGGUGAUCCAUGUGCCUUCAUGUACACAAGGUCAGAACAAAAGUCAAGAUCUGUCAUAAAAAAUCAAGUUUACUUGUAUGCAAACAUGUCAUUGCAUAAAAAAAAGCAUGGCAAUGCACUUGAUACAUACACAAGCAAGAAUAAAGAUGCAAGACAGCAGGAUCUGUGAGGUGGAUCCAUGGAGAGUUCGUCCAGGAUGCGUCUAAGAAAAAUUAUACUGGUGAGCUCCAUGGAGAGUUCGUCCACCCGAUACAUAAUACUCCAUGUCCAUGGAGCCACCACUCACCUGGUCUCUCAUCAUUCAGGAUGCGUCUCUCAACAUAAAGUAGCCGCCGGAUCUGUGAGGGGAUGGUGCUGGAUCUUCUAGGGUAGAGGGGAGGGGAGGAGUCAGCGUUGUCCUCACUGCUUACCGUCGGUGGUGACAACGUGAGGAGGGCGCGCUCGGGCUUGCGGUGAGGCCGCGCGUCGCCGCCAAGGAGCACAAGGCGUGGGUCGCUUGACCGGCGAGAGGAUAGAGAAGGUACAAGAAACGAGGGGAUGUGCAGUCUCAAGGGUGGAUGCGCCGGCCAAAAUGGAGCGGCGGAGUGGCACGACGAAGGAGGCGACCGAUGCUGCUGCUGCUGCGGCGGCGAGGGUUAGGUCUGGCGGCGGCGAGAUGGGGUGGAGACGAGGGAUGGGGCUUCUGAUUUGGGGAUCGAGGGUUUCUAACCACUCCGUAUUUCUUUUUCUACGGGCCUUUUCCU